This 958-nucleotide long non-coding RNA is filed under the name Homo sapiens (human). Its description in RNAcentral is "non-protein coding LINC02086:19". Lineage: Eukaryota; Metazoa; Chordata; Mammalia; Primates; Hominidae. The record is from RNAcentral.
GGGUUUCCAAAAAUUUGAAGGAAACUGAAAAUCAUAGUUCCCAAACCAGAUAUUUUCCGGUGUCCAGAUGUUCACUGGCAUGCAAACCAAAUGUCUGGAUUAUGAGCUCCUUUUUUCAUUUCUUUUUAUCAGCUUACAUCCAGAUGUUGGAUCCAACUGGUCAGAGGCCUGGGGCAGAGACAGAAAUCAAAUCUAGGGUGUUCAUCUAGAGUCUCCUGCUCCUCCAUUCCUGCUUCCUCCUCACGCUGCCCCCACAUCCUCCCCAACUCACCUUCAUGCUACAUCUCGGCAAAUACAGCUCAUAUCCAGGCACGGUGCAGCCCUUGACAGCUGGGUCCGCAAAGGCAGAUCGGGUAUAUCUUUAAAGAAAAGUUAUCUUAACCAUUGAGAAGCCUUCCUUCCUCAGAGGAGAGCACCUCCCCAGCAGACCUCCGAGGAGACCAAGGGCAGGACAGGAAGGGUGAAAGGAAGUUUCAGGACUGCAGGAAAUAAGAGCUUGGAGGUCAAGGGAGAGAUCAGAUAAAACAUGAAUCUGAUCAGCAUCCUAGUGGUCUAGAGUGGAGACAAUCUGCGGAGUCAACCUCAGUAAGGACACACAUAGAGAAGAACCAAAGCCUCUAAAGACGAAGCUGAGAAGUGUACGGUCGUAGAAGACUCGUGUCUGUUAUUCUUAAAAGCUCAAGGAGAUGUUCUGCCAAUUGAAUGGAAACUGUCCAUAGUGGGGAGCAGAGAGCCUCAUCUUUUCUGGAACUGAACAUCCAUCCUUAAGGCCAGAUUUCUCCCAUCACCAACUUUAACUCCUGCCCUAGCCCUCUCUCUUCCUUUUCAAAACCCUCUCCACCCAGGAAGGGAGAUUCUGGAGCCAAGACUGUACCAGCCACACCUCCCCAGAGUUGUUAAGGAAGGAACUCGAAGCCAGGGGUGGUCUUCUGGCAAGCACCCCCACUACCAGUAGCAG